UCCCUGAUGGCUCAGUGGUAAAGAAUCUGCCUUCCAAUCCAGGAGACGCAGGUUCGAUCCCUGAUCAGGGAA
This 72-nucleotide transfer RNA is filed under the name Bos taurus (domestic cattle). It matches the Rfam family "tRNA". Rfam says of the family: Transfer RNA (tRNA) molecules are approximately 80 nucleotides in length. Their secondary structure includes four short double-helical elements and three loops (D, anti-codon, and T loops). Further hydrogen bonds mediate the characteristic L-shaped molecular structure. tRNAs have two regions of fundamental functional importance: the anti-codon, which is responsible for specific mRNA codon recognition, and the 3' end, to which the tRNAs corresponding amino acid is attached (by aminoacyl-tRNA synthetases). tRNAs cope with the degeneracy of the genetic code in two manners: having more than one tRNA (with a specific anti-codon) for a particular amino acid; and 'wobble' base-pairing, i.e. permitting non-standard base-pairing at the 3rd anti-codon position. The record is from Rfam by way of RNAcentral. Lineage: Eukaryota; Metazoa; Chordata; Mammalia; Artiodactyla; Bovidae. RNAcentral also lists the same sequence under 1 other name.